GAUGAACGCUGGCGGCGUGCCUAAUACAUGCAAGUCGAGCGAAUGGAUUAAGAGCUUGCUCUUAUGAAGUUAGCGGCGGACGGGUGAGUAACACGCGGGUAACCUGCCCAUAAGACUGGGAUAACUCCGGGAAACCGGGGCUAAUACCGGAUAACAUUUUGAACCGCAUGGUUCGAAAUUGAAAGGCGGCUUCGGCUGUCACUUAUGGAUGGACCCGCGUCGCAUUAGCUAGUUGGUGAGGUAACGGCUCACCAAGGCAACGAUGCGUAGCCGACCUGAGGGGGUGAUCGGCCACACUGGGACUGAGACACGGCCCAGACUCCUACGGGAGGCAGCAGUAGGGAAUCUUCCGCAAUGGACGAAAGUCUGACGGAGCAACGCCGCGUGAGUGAUGAAGGCUUUCGGGUCGUAAAACUCUGUUGUUAGGGAAGAACAAGUGCUAGUUGAAUAAGCUGGCACCUUGACGGUACCUAACCAGAAAGCCACGGCUAACUACGUGCCAGCCGCCGCUGUAA
RNAcentral lists this ribosomal RNA (515 nucleotides) under uncultured bacterium. RNAcentral describes it as "partial 16S ribosomal RNA". It matches the Rfam family "Bacterial small subunit ribosomal RNA", at positions 28 to 523 of the family's 1533-position model. The record is from RNAcentral.